RNAcentral lists this ribosomal RNA (397 nucleotides) under uncultured bacterium. RNAcentral describes it as "bacterial SSU rRNA". It matches the Rfam family "Bacterial small subunit ribosomal RNA", at positions 28 to 428 of the family's 1533-position model. The record is from RNAcentral.
GACGAACGCUGGCGGCGUGCUUAACACAUGCAAGUCGAGCGGUAAGGCCCUUUCGGGGGUACACGAGCGGCGAACGGGUGAGUAACACGUGGGUGACCUGCCCUUAGCUCUGGGAUAAGCCUGGGAAACUGGGUCUAAUACCGGAUAUGACUCCAUGACGCAUGUUGUGGGGUGGAAAGCCUUGUGCGGCUAGGGAUGGGCCCGCGGCCUAUCAGCUUGUUGGUGGGGUGAUGGCCUACCAAGGCGACGACGGGUAGCCGGCCUGAGAGGGCGACCGGCCACACUGGGACUGAGACACGGCCCAGACUCCUACGGGAGGCAGCAGUGGGGAAUUUUGCGCAAUGGACGAAAGUCUGACGCAGCAACGCCGCGUGAGGGAUGAAGGCCUCGGUUGUAA